RNAcentral lists this ribosomal RNA (497 nucleotides) under uncultured bacterium. RNAcentral describes it as "partial 16S ribosomal RNA". It matches the Rfam family "Bacterial small subunit ribosomal RNA", at positions 28 to 507 of the family's 1533-position model. The record is from RNAcentral.
GAUGAACGCUGGCGGCGUGCCUAAUACAUGCAAGUCGAGCGAACAGAUGAGGAGCUUGCUCCUCUGACGUUAGCGGCGGACGGGUGAGUAACACGUGGAUCACCUCCCUAUAAGACUGGGAUAACUUCGGGAAACCGGAGCUAAUACCGGAUAAUAUAUUGAACCGCAUGGUUCAAUAGUGAAAGACGGUUUUGCUGUCACUUAUAGAUGGAUCCGCGCCGCAUUAGCUAGUUGGUAAGGUAACGGCUUACCAAGGCAACGAUGCGUAGCCGACCUGAGAGGGUGAUCGGCCACACUGGAACUGAGACACAGUCCAGAGUCCUACGGGAGGCAGCAGUAGGGGAUGUUCCGCAAUGGGAGAAAGCGUGACGGAGCAACGCCGCGUGAGUGAUGAAGGUCUGCGGAUCGUAAAACUCUGUUAUUAGGGAAGAACAAAUGUGUAAGUAACUAUGCACGUAUUGACGGUACCUAAUCAGAAAGCAACGGCUAACUACGUG